CCUACGGGGGGCAGCAGUGGGGAAUAUUGGACAAUGGGGGCAACCCUGAUCCAGCCAUGCCGCGUGUGUGAAGAAGGCCCUCGGGUUGUAAAGCACUUUCAGUGAGGAAGAACGCCUGGUGGUUAAUACCCAUCAGGAAAGACAUCACUCACAGAAGAAGCACCGGCUAACUCCGUGCCAGCAGCCGCGGUAAUACGGAGGGUGCGAGCGUUAAUCGGAAUUACUGGGCGUAAAGCGCGCGUAGGUGGCUUGAUAAGCCGGUUGUGAAAGCCCCGGGCUCAACCUGGGAACGGCAUCCGGAACUGUCAAGCUAGAGUGCAGGAGAGGAAGGUAGAAUUCCCGGUGUAGCGGUGAAAUGCGUAGAGCUCGGGAGGAAUACCAGUGGCGAAGGCGGCCUUCUGGACUGACACUGACACUGAGGUGCGAAAGCGUGGGUAGCAAACAGGAUUAGAUACCCUGGUAGUC
Molecule: ribosomal RNA, 465 nt
Filed under: Vreelandella stevensii
Lineage: Bacteria; Pseudomonadati; Pseudomonadota; Gammaproteobacteria; Oceanospirillales; Halomonadaceae
Description: partial 16S ribosomal RNA
Rfam family: Bacterial small subunit ribosomal RNA
Source: RNAcentral